ACGAACGCUGGCGGCGUGCCUAAUACAUGCAAGUUGAGCGCUGAAGGUUGGUACUUGUACCAACUGGAUGAGCAGCGAACGGGUGAGUAACGCGUGGGGAAUCUGCCUUUGAGCGGGGGACAACAUUUGGAAACGAAUGCUAAUACCGCAUAAAAACUUUAAACACAAGUUUUAAGUUUGAAAGAUGCAAUUGCAUCACUCAAAGAUGAUCCCGCGUUGUAUUAGCUAGUUGGUGAGGUAAAGGCUCACCAAGGCGAUGAUACAUAGCCGACCUGAGAGGGUGAUCGGCCACAUUGGGACUGAGACACGGCCCAAACGCCUACGGGAGGCAGCAGUAGGGAAUCUUCGGCAAUGGACGAAAGUCUGACCGAGCAACGCCGCGUGAGAGAAGAAGGUUUUCGGAUCGUAAAACUCUGUUGGUAGAGAAGAACGUUGGUGAGAGUGGAAAGCUCAUCAAGUGACGGUAACUACCCAGAAAGGGACGGCUAACUACGUG
This 496-nucleotide ribosomal RNA is filed under the name uncultured bacterium. RNAcentral's name for it is "partial 16S ribosomal RNA". It matches the Rfam family "Bacterial small subunit ribosomal RNA", at positions 29 to 507 of the family's 1533-position model. The record is from RNAcentral.